GGACAGUUUCUGCUUGAAUUUGUUUGCAAGAUGUCAGAAUAGCCUCCCAGAGCUGCUGUUUGGAUGUAAACUGCCUCCCACCCUCACAGAUCUUUUGCUUGAGAAUGCUCCAAAGGUUCUCAAUAGGAUUGAGGUCAGGGGAGGAUGGAGGCCACACCAUGACUUUCUCUCCUGUUAUCCCCAUAGCAGCCAAUGAAGCAGAGGUAUUUUUUGCAGCAUGAGAUGGUG
This is a non-coding RNA of Pelobates cultripes (western spadefoot toad), 228 nucleotides long. The record is from the annotation of a GenBank genome assembly. Lineage: Eukaryota; Metazoa; Chordata; Amphibia; Anura; Pelobatidae.